Long non-coding RNA from Cynocephalus volans (Philippine flying lemur), 371 nucleotides. RefSeq lists it as uncharacterized. The record is from RefSeq and is a predicted model, not a curated record. The transcript has 3 exons. Lineage: Eukaryota; Metazoa; Chordata; Mammalia; Dermoptera; Cynocephalidae.
CCAUGGACUUUCACUCUGGUCCCAUGGCUAUAGCUGGAUGAUGUGUUUCUACCUCCAAUCAAGCAUCCAGAUGUGGUUGUGGGGUAGAGGUUAAAGAACCCCGCUGUCUAUGUUAUACAUCGACAUAUGAAGUGAAUGAUCUUUACCUGUCUAUUGAAAUCAAAAUAGGUAUACCCAGAGUGUGGGGCAAAACAGGAAAUCUGGUGCAAGUUGGCAAGAGCUCGCCUGCAUCUGGUGACUCAAGGACUGAAGCUUCCUCCAUCUGCUGAGGCUGCCAUCACAAUAUGUAAAUUCCCAGGUUGCCAUGGUGGGGAAAGAGGGGGAUAGAGAAAGCACAGCAGCUCUUCAAUUCCUCAGCUCAUAAGUGACAC